AAACCGCUUAGGGGUUAAACCCGAUGAACCUGAAUAUCUGAAUUGAGAAAUUCAAUAUUAUGUUAUUAAUUAUUCAUAUUAAUAUAAUUAUUAACUGGUAUGCACUUUUCUCAUAGUAAGACAUUGCGAUCCAUUAGCUCAUAAUAAAUUUAUCAAACGGCCUGUAUGUAAAGCUUGUUCUAUCUGUAAUAAUUUUACAAUUAUUAUAUGAACAAAUACAUUGCAGUGACCUGAUAAAUAGCUGAUGGAACUUAAAAAUCAUGCAACCAUACAUGUUUAUGUAUCACGAUUUAAAUUUACUAUAUGUUAUUUAAAUGCAGUGAUAGCAUGUAUUUGAUUAGCAAUGCGAAUGAUUUGGGAUACCUUCGGGACCCGUCUUGAAACACGGACCAAGAAGUCUAACAUGUGUGCAAGUCAUUGGGUAUAUUGUUGAAACCUAAAGGCGAAAUUAAAAUAACUAUUUAUGGGAUUACAAGUGAUUUUUUAUAAAUAUCAUUUCUCCAUCCCGGGGCGUUCUAUACGAACAUGGUUUAAGCAAUUAAAUCCUCUGUUCAAGAGCGUACCUUGAGCAUACAUGCUGUGACCCGAAAGAUGGUGAACUAUGCCUGAUCAGGUUGAAGUCAGGGGAAACCCUGAUGGAGGACUGAAGCAGUUCUGACGUGCAAAUCGAUUGUCAGAAUUGGGUAUAGGGGCGAAAGGCCAAUCGAACCAUCUAGUAGCUGGUUCCCUCCGAAGUUUCCCUCAGGAUAGCUGGUGCAAUGAUAAUUCUAACAUAUAAUCUUAUCUGGUAAAGCGAAUGAUUAGAGGCCUUGGGGCCGAAACGACCUCAACCUAUUCUCAAACUUUAAAUGGGUAAGAACCUCAUCUUUCUUGAUUUGAAGAUAUAGAGGUUUAGAUAUAUUGUGCCCAGUGGGCCACUUUUGGUAAGCAGAACUGGCGCUGUGGGAUGAACCAAACGUGAUGUUACGGCGCCUAAAUUAAUGACUCAUAUUGAUACCAUGAAAGGCGUUGGUUGCUUAAAACAGCAGGACGGUGGACAUGGAAGUCGUAAUCCGCUAAGGAGUGUGUAACAACUCACCUGCCGAAGCAACUAGCCCUUAAAAUGGAUGGCGCUCAAGUCAUAUGCCUAUACAUUACCGCUAGAAUAAAAAAAUUUUUGAUUUAUUUUAAAAAUUUGUAAAAUUCUAGUGAGUAGGAGGGUACAAUGGUGUGCGCAGAAGUGUUUGGCGUGAGCCUGCAUGGAGCCGCCAUUGGCACAGAUCUUGGUGGUAGUAGCAAAUAAUCGAAUGAGAUCUUGGAGGACUGAAGUGGAGAAGGGUUUCGUGUGAACAGUGGUUGAUCACGAGUUAGUCGGUCCUAAGCUCUAUGCGAAAGCUGUUUAAUUUAUGUU
This 1390-nucleotide ribosomal RNA is filed under the name unidentified. RNAcentral's name for it is "Afrokeroplatus ashleyi partial 28S ribosomal RNA". It matches the Rfam family "Eukaryotic large subunit ribosomal RNA", at positions 402 to 1578 of the family's 3401-position model. The record is from RNAcentral.